ACGCACGCUGGCGGCAGGCCUAACACAUGCAAGUCGAGCGCGCCCUUCGGGGUGAGCGGCGGACGGGUGAGUAACGCGUGGGAACGUGCCCUUUUCUACGGAAUAGCCUCGGGAAACUGAGAGUAAUACCGUAUACGCCCUUUGGGGGAAAGAUUUAUCGGAAAAGGAUCGGCCCGCGUUGGAUUAGGUAGUUGGUGGGGUAAUGGCCUACCAAGCCGACGAUCCAUAGCUGGUUUGAGAGGAUGAUCAGCCACACUGGGACUGAGACACGGCCCAGACUCCUACGGGAGGCAGCAGUGGGGAAUCUUAGACAAUGGGGGCAACCCUGAUCUAGCCAUGCCGCGUGAGUGAUGAAGGCCUUAGGGUUGUAAAGCUCUUUCAGCUGGGAAGAUAAUGACGGUACCAGCAGAAGAAGCCCCGGCUAACUCCGUG
Molecule: ribosomal RNA, 432 nt
Filed under: uncultured bacterium
Lineage: Bacteria
Description: partial 16S ribosomal RNA
Rfam family: Bacterial small subunit ribosomal RNA
Source: RNAcentral